GAUGAAGAACGCAGCGAAAUGCGAUACUUGGUGUGAAUUGCAGAAUCCCGUGAACCAUCGAGUCUUUGAACGCAAGUUGCGCCCGAAGCCAUCAGGUUGAGGGCACGUCUGCCUGGGCGUCACAUAUCGUUGCCCAAUGCCUAUUGCAGUGCAAUAGGAAUUUCUAGGGCGAAUGAUGGCUUCCCGUGAGCGUUGUUACCUCGCGGUUGGUUGAAAAUCGAGUCCUUGGUAGGGUGUGCCAUGGUAGAUGGUGGUCGAGUUAGAACGAUACCGAUCAUGUGCAUGCUCCCCAAAAUAUGGCCUCUAUGACCCACACGCGUCUUUUGACGCUCAUGACGAGACCUCAGGUCAGGCGGGGCUACCCGCUGAAUUUAAGCAUAUCAAUAAGCGGAGGA
RNAcentral lists this unclassified non-coding RNA (395 nucleotides) under soil metagenome. Its description in RNAcentral is "partial contains 5.8S ribosomal RNA, internal transcribed spacer 2, and large subunit ribosomal RNA". The stretch from base 1 to 122 matches the Rfam family "5.8S ribosomal RNA", at positions 35 to 154 of the family's 154-position model. The record is from RNAcentral.